CCCUGGCUGGCUGGCUCAACAAAGGGCUGUCUGUGCCUGCUUCUCGCCACGGCUGAGUGCCAGUUGUCUUAAAUCCAGUGCUCCUUGAACCCCAGCCGCUCAUGGCUGCUGCGAGGGCCACCCGUAAUGCCUACACCACGAGCUCACCGAGGACCGGGUUUAAACCAGGGCUCCUUGGCCAUUCUCUGGACAUUUGAGCUGCAUCCUUGUCCCUUUCUGCCUCUCUCAAGCCCCCAGAGGUUCAUGGCUCUGGCUCCCUCUGCCCACAGCAGCUGUGUUGUCAACAGGGACAAAGUCACCUUCCUCUGACAAAGUCACCAUGCUCUGAGCAAGUCAAGCCUGUGUUCAUCUUGGGGACAGAGCCCUGUCCAGAGUAUGAAACCACAUGGAGUCCAUAGGAACUCAAUGCCUGCGCAAAGAUAGACUGAAGACUGCUUUGGAGAGGAGAAAAGGGAGAAGAAUUUGACAGCAGGGCUGAGAGGCAUCCCCUGCCAGGAGCUGGCCUGCGUAAGCCCUUGAUGUGAUGCCCCCUCAUCCAACAAGAGCUUUGGAGAGGAUGCAGUGAUGGUUUAAAGUUGCCUAGUAGCUGGAGGGAGAGACUCACCAGAGAUGUGGAGGCUUCUGCAAGGUCGCGGGCUCCAAAGGCUCCUAGUGGAAGCUGCUGAUGAUCCUGUAGCAGGGCACAAAUGCCUUGCUCCAAGAAGUUUCCUGUGUGCUCAGAGACAAGACUUGACUGUGGCGCCUGGGACCGAGCACCGUGCACUGUGGCUCCUUGCACAUGUCAUGCGGCAAGCAGCUCGUUCGUGGCAGGAAUUCGCCUUCUCCGAGGCAGCCGUUCUCUUUGUUUUUCCUCUCACCACAUAGAAGUAAAUGUGUUUGACAUACAAUAAAAAUCACCUGACUUCA
Long non-coding RNA from Ictidomys tridecemlineatus (thirteen-lined ground squirrel), 906 nucleotides. RefSeq lists it as uncharacterized. The record is from RefSeq and is a predicted model, not a curated record. Lineage: Eukaryota; Metazoa; Chordata; Mammalia; Rodentia; Sciuridae.